AAUAUUGCGCAAUGGAGGGAACUCUGACGCAGCGACGCCGCGUGAGCGAUGAAGGUCUUCGGAUCGUAAAGCUCUGUCCUUGGGGAAGAAGGUCUUCGGACUUGCCGGUACCUAAGGCGGAAGCCCUGGCUAACUACGUGCCAGCAGCCGCGGUUAGACGUAGGGGGCAAGCGUUGUCUGGUAUUAGUGGGCGUAAAGGGUGCGUAGGCGGUCUUUUGAGUGAGGUGUGAGAGCCCACGGGUAAACCGUGGGACUGCAUUUGACACUGGGGGGCUUGAGUAUCGGAGAGGGUAGUGGAAUUCCCAGUGUAGCGGUGGAAUGCGUAGAUAUUGGGAGAAACACCAGUGGCGAAGGCGACUACCUGGACGAAAACUGACGCUGAGGCACGAGAGCGAGGGGAGAAAACA
This 407-nucleotide ribosomal RNA is filed under the name uncultured bacterium. Its description in RNAcentral is "partial 16S ribosomal RNA". It matches the Rfam family "Bacterial small subunit ribosomal RNA", at positions 360 to 774 of the family's 1533-position model. The record is from RNAcentral.